This 658-nucleotide small RNA is filed under the name Histoplasma ohiense. Its description in RNAcentral is "hypothetical lncRNA". The record is from RNAcentral. Lineage: Eukaryota; Fungi; Ascomycota; Eurotiomycetes; Onygenales; Ajellomycetaceae.
CCACCAUUAUCACCACACCCACCGCUACCAUAUCUUGGAGUUGCGUAUUUCAAUCCCAGCUACUUAUAUCUUCCCGCUGAUAACAAGACUCUAUGAAUCGAUCACCAAUAUGUUCCCUGAUUGCUAGUAGUAUCCGACAUAUUUUCUCCUUCAGCACAUCAAAUAAUAUCCAUAUGCUGACUUGAUGGUCAAGGGUGGUUGUGGAGCAGCGUCUGAGAAACCACCUUGAGGCAAAACAAGUCCUGAAUCCUAAAGCCAGUCAUGGACCAAUUACUGACUCCGCAGCUAGCAGAAUAGUUCCAUGUUUAUAAUUGAACCAUCAUCCCUUGCCUAUAGAUUACUAUCUUCUGUUUUGCUGGAAGUCACAAAUCUAUCAUCACCUCUGUCUCUCCAUCAAAAUACCCGAAAAUGCCGUGGUGUGAUAGGAAAAGCUUGCAGAUAGUAUCCAACUAUACAAUUCCACUGCCGAACCAAUAUGAAGGACAAUUUGUUGUGGGGUUACAGAAAAGGUUUGCCAAUUGCUUGAAAAACACUGCUGGAAGCAGAUGUUAUAAAUCUACGGACCAGGAAUUGAGAACCUAGAAAUGCUGUUCUUCAAUAUAAACUAGGCUCCCCUAUGACCACACCUCAUGCCUGAAGAUAUCACCUCAUACCCAUG